AUUGAACGCUGGCGGCAUGCCUUACACAUGCAAGUCGAACGGCAGCAUGGGUGCUUGCACCUGAUGGCGAGUGGCGAACGGGUGAGUAAUGCAUCGGAACGUACCCGGAAGUGGGGGAUAACGUAGCGAAAGUUACGCUAAUACCGCAUAUUCUGUGAGCAGGAAAGCGGGGGAUCGCAAGACCUCGCGCUUCCGGAGCGGCCGAUGUCGGAUUAGCUAGUUGGCGGGGUAAAGGCCCACCAAGGCAACGAUCCGUAGCGGGUCUGAGAGGAUGAUCCGCCACACUGGGACUGAGACACGGCCCAGACUCCUACGGGAGGCAGCAGUGGGGAAUAUUGGACAAUGGGGGCGAACCCUGAUCCAGCAAUGCCGCGUGUGUGAAGAAGGCCUGAGGGUUGUAAAGCACUUUCAGUGGGGAGGGAGGGAGUACGUUGGUUAAGUAGCUGAUGUAUUGGACGUUA
RNAcentral lists this ribosomal RNA (461 nucleotides) under uncultured bacterium. RNAcentral describes it as "bacterial SSU rRNA". It matches the Rfam family "Bacterial small subunit ribosomal RNA", at positions 29 to 477 of the family's 1533-position model. The record is from RNAcentral.